Molecule: transfer RNA, 91 nt
Filed under: Paractinoplanes toevensis
Lineage: Bacteria; Bacillati; Actinomycetota; Actinomycetes; Micromonosporales; Micromonosporaceae
Description: Actinoplanes toevensis tRNA-Thr
Source: RNAcentral
CGAGUGGAUCGGCCGGCAGUCGGCCUGGUCGUUCGUGGUGACCACCGAGCCCGCGUUCUGGGCCCCGAUGUUCGACUACCUGGCGUUCGCC